This 417-nucleotide long non-coding RNA is filed under the name Androctonus crassicauda. The record is from RNAcentral. Lineage: Eukaryota; Metazoa; Arthropoda; Arachnida; Scorpiones; Buthidae.
UGUGUGUGUAUGUGUGUAUGUGUGUGUGUGUAUAUCUGUGUGUGCCUGUGUGUGUAUAUGUGUGUAUAUGUGUGUGUAUGUGUAUGUGUGUAUGCGUAUGUGUGACAUAUGUGUGAGACAGACCAGAGAGAGGGGGGGGAAGCACUUUUCAAAAAUAAGUACCAUUUAAUAUAAUGCAGCUGUAAAAUCUGGCAAGAGCAGGCGGUCCUGUUGCCCUUUAAGGCGCCCUUCCUGUGGAUGUCCCUCCAAAGGAGAAGUUGGUGACUUACCUCAUUACCUCAGCAUCCAUCUUAUCACUUCAUCUACAGGGACCGCCUCACGUAUGCGGCUGUAUUCCUCAGAUAUCCUGAAACUUUGGCCAAUAUCGUAAGCACCUUAACCCCUGGCUACUCAGUUGUAAGCACUUUUAGAUCACAU